GGUUCUCUAGUGUAGCGGUUAGCCCAUCCGCUUUACACGCAGAAGGUCCUGGGUUCAUGCCCCAGUGGCGCCA
Molecule: transfer RNA, 73 nt
Filed under: Pteropus alecto (black flying fox)
Lineage: Eukaryota; Metazoa; Chordata; Mammalia; Chiroptera; Pteropodidae
Rfam family: tRNA
About the family: Transfer RNA (tRNA) molecules are approximately 80 nucleotides in length. Their secondary structure includes four short double-helical elements and three loops (D, anti-codon, and T loops).
Source: Rfam by way of RNAcentral